AACGAACGCUGGCGGCAGGCCUAACACAUGCAAGUCGAGCGCGCCCUUCGGGUGAGCGGCGGACGGGUUAGUAACGCGUGGGAAUAUGCCCAAAGGUACGGAAUAGCCUCUGGAAACGGAGAGUAAUACCGUAUGUGCCCUUCGGGGGAAAGAUUUAUCGCCUUUGGAUUAGCCCGCGUUAGAUUAGGUAGUUGGUGGGGUAAUGGCCUACCAAGCCUACGAUCUAUAGCUGGUUUUAGAGGAUGAUCAGCAACACUGGGACUGAGACACGGCCCACGACUCCUACGGGAGGCGAGCAGUGGGGAAGUCUUGGUACGAAUGGGGGCGAACCCUGAUCCAGCCAUGCCGCGUGAGUGAUGAAGGCC
RNAcentral lists this ribosomal RNA (365 nucleotides) under uncultured bacterium. RNAcentral describes it as "bacterial SSU rRNA". It matches the Rfam family "Bacterial small subunit ribosomal RNA", at positions 29 to 416 of the family's 1533-position model. The record is from RNAcentral.